GUCGCCUCCUAAAAGGUAACGGAGGCGCUCAAAGGUUCCCUCAGAAUGGUUGGAAAUCAUUCAUAGAGUGUAAAGGCAUAAGGGAGCUUGACUGCGAGACCUACAAGUCGAGCAGGGUCGAAAGACGGACUUAGUGAUCCGGUGGUUCCGCAUGGAAGGGCCAUCGCUCAACGGAUAAAAGCUACCCCGGGGAUAACAGGCUUAUCUCCCCCAAGAGUUCACAUCGACGGGGAGGUUUGGCACCUCGAUGUCGGCUCAUCGCAUCCUGGGGCUGUAGUCGGUCCCAAGGGUUGGGCUGUUCGCCCAUUAAAGCGGUACGCGAGCUGGGUUCAGAACGUCGUGAGACAGUUCGGUCCCUAUCCGUCGUGGGCGUAGGAAAUUUGAGAGGAGCUGUCCUUAGUACGAGAGGACCGGGAUGGACAUACCUCUGGUGUACCAGUUGUCGUGCCAACGGCAUAGCUGGGUAGCUAUGUGUGGACGGGAUAAGUGCUGAAAG
This 496-nucleotide ribosomal RNA is filed under the name Staphylococcus aureus. RNAcentral describes it as "partial 23S ribosomal RNA". It matches the Rfam family "Bacterial large subunit ribosomal RNA", at positions 2282 to 2777 of the family's 2925-position model. Lineage: Bacteria; Bacillati; Bacillota; Bacilli; Caryophanales; Staphylococcaceae. The record is from RNAcentral. RNAcentral also lists the same sequence under 3 other names.